GAUGAACGCUAGCGACAGGCCUAACACAUGCAAGUCGAGGGGCAGCACGAUUGAAGUUUACUUUAAUUGGUGGCGACCGGCGCACGGGUGCGUAACACGUAUGCAAUCUACCUGUAAGUGGGGAAUAACCCGGAGAAAUCCGGACUAAUACCGCAUAAUACUAAGACACCGCAUGGUAUUUUAGUUAAACAUUUAUGGCUUACAGAUGAGCAUGCGCAUGAUUAGCUAGUUGGUAAGGUAACGGCUUACCAAGGCAACGAUCAUUAGGGGUUCUGAGAGGAAGGUCCCCCACACUGGUACUGAGACACGGACCAGACUCCUACGGGAGGCAGCAGUGAGGAAUAUUGGUCAAUGGACGCAAGUCUGAACCAGCCAAGUCGCGUGAAGGAUGACUGCCCUAUGGGUUGUAAACUUCUUUUGUACAGGAAUAAAACGUCUUACGUGUAAGAUUUUGUAUGUACUGUACGAAUAAGCAUCGGCUAACUCCGUGCCAGCCGCCGCCGUAACAC
Molecule: ribosomal RNA, 509 nt
Filed under: uncultured bacterium
Lineage: Bacteria
Description: bacterial SSU rRNA
Rfam family: Bacterial small subunit ribosomal RNA
Source: RNAcentral